Molecule: ribosomal RNA, 301 nt
Filed under: uncultured bacterium
Lineage: Bacteria
Description: partial 16S ribosomal RNA
Rfam family: Bacterial small subunit ribosomal RNA
Source: RNAcentral
CAGUCGCCACGGUAAUACGAAGGGGGCUAGCGUUGUUCGGAUUUACUGGGCGUAAAGCGCACGUAGGCGGAUCGAUCAGUCAGGGGUGAAAUCCCAGAGCUCAACUCUGGAACUGCCUUUGAUACUGUCGAUCUGGAGUAUGGAAGAGGUGAGUGGAAUUCCGAGUGUAGAGGUGAAAUUCGUAGAUAUUCGGAGGAACACCAGUGGCGAAGGCGGCUCACUGGUCCAUUACUGACGCUGAGGUGCGAAAGCGUGGGGAGCAAACAGGAUUAGAUACCCCUGUAGUCCCUGUCUCUUAUAU